Danaus plexippus (monarch butterfly) is the source of this 222-nucleotide long non-coding RNA. RefSeq lists it as uncharacterized. The record is from RefSeq and is a predicted model, not a curated record. The transcript is spliced from 2 exons. NCBI's taxonomy places the organism in Eukaryota, Metazoa, Arthropoda, Insecta, Lepidoptera, Nymphalidae.
UUUCUUUAUAAGGACGUAAGUUUAUUCAAUUUAAGAUUUUAUUAAUGAAUAUUGUAAAGAUUCCUGUGAGUUACGGUUGCGGUUAAGAUGGCGCCACCAGUACAUUACCACAUCCCAGUUCACUGAAUCAAUGAAACAUAUAUUGCAAUGAACGAGGAUAAUCGUGUGACAUUCAACAAAAAGUCCUUUCACUAAAUAAAUACUAAGGAAAUUAGACCAAAA